This 323-nucleotide long non-coding RNA is filed under the name Aotus nancymaae (Ma's night monkey). RNAcentral describes it as "lncRNA (ENSANAG00000039528.1)". Lineage: Eukaryota; Metazoa; Chordata; Mammalia; Primates; Aotidae. The record is from RNAcentral.
AGCCCUUCCUCCAUGGGUCGGCCAGGAUGGCAUCUGGUGUCUCAAAGGCCAGAGGCAGGUGAAGCCUGGCUCUUCUACCCUUGGAGAGGCACUCAAAGAAGGCUCAGAACAGGUGAGCAGAAGGCAAGAGACAGGAAAGGAAGCCAGGCAGUGAGGUCAUCAGGAGGUCACAUUGUGGAGCCAGAGGUCAGAGCACUUUGAGAUCUGCACAGGAAGCACACAGCUCUGGUUACCACUGGAAGCCGUCUUGCCCCCACAAGCCAGCCUUAAGAUGCUGCUGAUGCUGGGAUUGCAGAAUGGAGUAACAGAGAAGUAAGUUGUUG